RNAcentral lists this long non-coding RNA (815 nucleotides) under Homo sapiens (human). RNAcentral's name for it is "HSALNT0326160". The record is from RNAcentral. Lineage: Eukaryota; Metazoa; Chordata; Mammalia; Primates; Hominidae.
CGGACUUUGCGGGCGGGCGGGCACUGGUGAGAAGAGGAAGUGGGAGAGGCCUGGGAAGGAAACUUGGAAACCGAAAACUCGGCGGCCGAGGCUCCGUGCCCCGCGCGCAGCGCUGCUCCUGCCCCGGCCAAGGACGCACGGGCCAGCCGGCGGAACCAGAGGUUUUCAGUGAUGUUGAGAGUCAACAGGAAAUUAAUCAGCAAGUAGAAAAUUGAAAGAAGAUCUGCAUCUUACUGCAGGAGUCAUUAAAAUAAAAGCAGAUUUGGCAAAAUGGCAAGUGGAGGAAGACUUCUCACACACAGUUUAAGGAUGAGGAAAUGAAGGCACAGAGCAGUUAUUCAACUUGUCUAAGGCCACACGGCUACUAAGAAUCAUUGCCAGGAUGUACCUCCAGUUUUAUAGGUUUUGGCCACCGUGUGACGACUCCUUCCCUCUUUUGAUGGAUAUCCAGAGAGCACCUUGGGCAGCUACCUGAUUCUUACGACCACCCCCUCCCAGUUUUGGACCAUCAGAGCUGUUGUCAGAAUGUCUUCAUAGGAGUCUCCCAACCUUCUAUUUUUCCUUUGAACUUUGAAAAUCUACCUCCGAAUAUUGCAAGCUCAUGUCUAACUGAGCUAAUGAUAUUCCUCCAUUUUCCCAAAAGUUUAAGCUGCCACUGUCUUUUAGUUGCUAUUUUCUUAACUAACUAGUUUGUUCUGAUGGGUCAAAAUUAAGGGCUUUUGAUAAGGAGAACAGUUAUUAUAUUUUUUCAGACUUCUGGGAGAUGAAGCCACAUGAAGAAUUUAUUGCAUUUGUUGUUCUUAGCUGACCUUACC